RNAcentral lists this ribosomal RNA (510 nucleotides) under uncultured bacterium. RNAcentral describes it as "partial 16S ribosomal RNA". It matches the Rfam family "Bacterial small subunit ribosomal RNA", at positions 28 to 507 of the family's 1533-position model. The record is from RNAcentral.
GACGAACGCUGGCGGCGUGCUUAACACAUGCAAGUCGAACGAAGAGCGAUGGAAGCUUGCUUCUAUCAAUCUUAGUGGCGAACGGGUGAGUAACGCGUAAUCAACCUGCCCUUCAGAGGGGGACAACAGUUGGAAACGACUGCUAAUACCGCAUACGAUCUAACCUCGGCAUCGAGGAUAGAUGAAAGGUGGCCUCUACAUGUAAGCUAUCACUGAAGGAGGGGAUUGCGUCUGAUUAGCUAGUUGGAGGGGUAACGGCCCACCAAGGCGAUGGUCAGUAGCCGGUCUGAGAGGAUGAACGGCCACAUUGGGACUGAGACACGGCCCAGACUCCUACGGGAGGCAGCAGUGGGGAAUCUUCCGCAAUGGACGAAAGUCUGACGGAGCAACGCCGCGUGAGUGAGGACGGCCUUCGGGUUGUAAAGCUCUGUUAAUCGGGACGAAAGGCCUUCUUGCGAAUAGUUAGAAGGAUUGACGGUACCGGAAUAGAAAGCCACGGCUAACUACGUG